UACGUAGGGUGCAAGCGUUAAUCGGAUUUACUGGGCGUAAAGGGCGCGUAGGCGGUCAGCACAAGUCAGUUGUGAAAUCUCCGGGCUUAACUCGGAAAGGUCAACUGAUACUGUGCGACUAGAGUGCAGAAGGGGCAACUGGAAUUCUCGGUGUAGCGGUGAAAUGCGUAGAUAUCGAGAGGAACACCUGCGGCGAAGGCGGGUUGCUGGGCUGACACUGACGCUGAUGCGCGAAAGCCAGGGGAGCGAACGGG
This 254-nucleotide ribosomal RNA is filed under the name uncultured bacterium. RNAcentral describes it as "partial 16S ribosomal RNA". It matches the Rfam family "Bacterial small subunit ribosomal RNA", at positions 524 to 776 of the family's 1533-position model. The record is from RNAcentral.